AACGAACGCUGGCGGCAUGCCUAACACAUGCAAGUCGAACGAAGCCUUCGGGCCUAGUGGCGCACGGGUGCGUAACGCGUGGGAAUCUGCCCUUGGGUUCAGAAUAACAGUUAGAAAUGACUGCUAAUACCGGAUGAUGUCUUCGGACCAAAGAUUUAUCGCCCAAGGAUGAGCCCGCGUAGGAUUAGGUAGUUGGUGGGGUAAUGGCCCACCAAGCCGACGAUCCUUAGCUGGUCUGAGAGGAUGAUCAGCCACACUGGGACUGGGACACGGCCCAGACUCCUACGGGGGGCAGCAGUGGGGAAUAUUGGACAAUGGCGAAAGCCCGAUCCAGCAAUGCCGCGUGAGUGAUGAAGGCCUUAGGGUUGUAAAGCUCUUUUACCAGGGAUGAUAAUGACAGUACCUGGAGAAUAAGCUCCGGCUAACUCCGUGCCAGCCGCCGCCGUAA
This 448-nucleotide ribosomal RNA is filed under the name uncultured bacterium. RNAcentral's name for it is "partial 16S ribosomal RNA". It matches the Rfam family "Bacterial small subunit ribosomal RNA", at positions 29 to 523 of the family's 1533-position model. The record is from RNAcentral.